AAACAUUUAAUUGAUAUUCAUGUCUUAUUUCCUACUUUUUUGAGUUGGAUAGGAAUUGAAAUGUUGUUUCACUGUUUAAUUAAAAGGUAAUGAAGCGUUUGUUUCAUUGUGCAUAGAUUCACGACAAUAUCAAAAUGUUUGAAUUGAAUGUUUUGAAGACAAACAACUUUUGAAGGCUGAUACGUUUGAAGAAAUGACAUGAUAUAGUUAUAGAUUUGUGAAACUCAUAAUUCAAUUGACAACAUUUGUUCAAAGUCUACCAACUAUCAAAGAAUUUGUUGUUGGUAUUUGUAAAAGCAUAUCGGUGAGUUGAAGUGUAACACCAUGCGUUUCAUUCUCAUAAUUACUAUGUCCUAAUAGAUUAUGUAUUUGUAAUGCCACAUUUUAUUUACGUGAUAGGUGUUUCUGCUUUCUUAAUUAAUUUUAUUUAGUGUGU
This 436-nucleotide long non-coding RNA is filed under the name Olea europaea (common olive). RNAcentral's name for it is "long non-coding RNA (OEUR_LNC000805)". The record is from RNAcentral. Lineage: Eukaryota; Viridiplantae; Streptophyta; Magnoliopsida; Lamiales; Oleaceae.